This 887-nucleotide ribosomal RNA is filed under the name uncultured soil bacterium. RNAcentral describes it as "SSU rRNA". It matches the Rfam family "Bacterial small subunit ribosomal RNA", at positions 1 to 906 of the family's 1533-position model. The record is from RNAcentral.
GAAUUUUUGUUCAAUAUGUGUCUGGCUAGGAGACGCUGGCGGCGUGCCUAAAACAUGCAAGUCGAACGGGGUCCAUCCUUCGGGAGAAGACCUAGUGGCGAACGGGUGAGUAACACGUGAGCAAUCUGCCUCAGAGUUCGGGAUAAGCCAGGGAAACUUGGUCUAAUACCGGAUGUCCUUACAGAAUCUUCUGUUUUUGUAAGGAAAGUUUUUCGCUUUGAGAGGAGCUCGCGUCCUAUCAGCUUGUUGGUGGGGUAACGGCCUACCAAGGCUUCGACGGGUAGCUGGUCUGAGAGGAUGGUCAGCCACACUGGGACUGAGACACGGCCCAGACUCCUACGGGAGGCAGCAGUUAGGAAUCUUGCGCAAUGGGCGAAAGCCUGACGCAGCAACGCCGCGUGAGGGAUGAAGGCUUUCGGGUUGUAAACCUCUUUCAGCAGGAACGAAAUUGACGGUACCUGCAGAAGAAGCACCGGCCAACUACGUGCCAGCAGCCGCGGUAAUACGUAGGGUGCAAGCGUUGUCCGGAUUUAUUGGGCGUAAAGAGCUCGUAGGCGGCUUAGAUAGUCAGGUGUGAAACCUCCAGGCUCAACCUGGAGACGCCACUUGAUACUUCUAUGGCUAGAGUUCGGUGGGGGUGAGUGGAAUUCCUGGUGUAGCGGUGAAAUGCGCAGAUAUCACGAGGAACACCAAUGGCGAAGGCAGCUCACUGGGCCGAUACUGACGCUGAGGAGCGAAAGCGUGGGGAGCGAACAGGAUUAGAUACCCUGGUAGUCCACGCCGUAACGUUGGGAACUAGGUGUGGGAGGUAUCACGCCUUCCGUGCCGUAGCUAACGCAUUAAGUUCCCCGCCUGGGGGAGUACGGUCGCAAGACUAAAACUCAAAA